GGGGAAUUUUGGACAAUGGGCGCAAGCCUGAUCCAGCAAUGCCGCGUGCAGGAUGAAGGCCUUCGGGUUGUAAACUGCUUUUGUACGGAACGAAAAGCCUCUCUCUAAUACAGGGGGGUGAUGACGGUACCGUAAGAAUAAGCACCGGCUAACUACGUGCCAGAAGCCGCGGUAAUACGUAGGGUGCAAGCGUUAAUCGGAAUUACUGGGCGUAAAGCGUGCGCAGGCGGUUUUGUAAGACAGUGGUGAAAUCCCCGGGCUCAACCUGGGAACUGCCAUUGUGACUGAAAGGCUGGAGUGCGGCAGAGGGUAGUGGAAUUCCCGGUGUAGCAGUGAAAUGCGUAGAGAUCGGGAGGAACAUCAGUGGCGAAGGCGACUGCCUGGGCCAACACUGACACUGAGGCACGAAAGCGUGGGGAGCAAACA
RNAcentral lists this ribosomal RNA (426 nucleotides) under uncultured Comamonadaceae bacterium. RNAcentral describes it as "bacterial SSU rRNA". It matches the Rfam family "Bacterial small subunit ribosomal RNA", at positions 356 to 774 of the family's 1533-position model. Lineage: Bacteria; Pseudomonadati; Pseudomonadota; Betaproteobacteria; Burkholderiales; Comamonadaceae. The record is from RNAcentral.